CUUUGAAGAUUUGAGCACCAAUGGAGGAUUUGUAUCAUUUGAAAUCUAUCCACGACAUGUUGAAGGCAAAAGGCUAGACAAGACAGUAUGGAGCCUAUUGAACUUCUAUGCAUUCAUUAAACAUCAUGUGAAGUGUACACGAAGUUUUAUUCAGCGCAGGAUGAGGAGUC
Molecule: long non-coding RNA, 170 nt
Organism: Impatiens glandulifera
Lineage: Eukaryota; Viridiplantae; Streptophyta; Magnoliopsida; Ericales; Balsaminaceae
Exons: 3
Source: RefSeq, a predicted model, not a curated record